CUUUCUUACACUGUUUAAUGUUCAAUUCCAGCACAUAGAAUCCUUACAAACAAUGUUCAUAAUAUGAAAUGGAAAAAUAAUUUCCAUUUCUUGUUGAGUUUUGGCGCUGUUCAGUUCUUCCUAUGAGGUUCAAGGUACUUGCACUACACUAUCUAGUUUAUAGGUUUAAAGAAUUUCUGGUUUUUGCAUCAAAUAGCAAGGUUUAUUUUCAAGAUUUCUUUUUCAUAAAACUACUUCAAAACGUGUACAUAUUUGUCUAUUCAUAAAGUUUUAAAUGAGAAUUUAUAAGCAUUGUGUUCUUAACUUCUUCGGCAAGUUUGGUAAAUCAGAUUAGAAACAUCAGAAAAUCAUUUGUUACCAUCUAAUACUGCAUAGCAACGUGCACUUAUUGAGUUAUACAUAAAUUUGGAAUAUCGAUCUCGAUCUCGAACUCCCCCUACCCCGCCUCUUCCCUACUUCUGGACUGGAGGUUGAAAUUUUUUGGAUAAGUUCUAUAUACAAAUUGCAAAUUUUGUUUUGGGAUGGAGCAUUAGGGAAUUUAACUAUGUAUUGUGAAGUAAAGGAAGUUAAAUGGUCAAAUAAUUAAAAUGUUGCAGGGAAGCAUUUUUCUUGCUCAGCUUUCAUCAUGCAAGGAAACAGAUAAAACACUGGAAAAGAAAUUGAACAUGAAGCCUGGAUACUAUUCAACUGCUGCCCAGAAUUCCUAGCAACAGUGUCUUAGUAUGUGUCCUUGUGCUGAUAUACAACAAGAGUUCCCCUUCAAACUUCAAGUUUACGUUAUGGCAUGUUUGAUACUGGAAAUUAAAUCCUGUUAUUCAUUGUAAUUUUGUGACGUAUUCAGUACUAUGUGACAAAUAUGCAUUUGGUUUUAUUCUUAAUAAUUCUAAUCUAUAUUGUGUAAUCAGACAGUAUAUUCGAUUUGUUCAUCUUUUUUAGCUAAUGAUAUAAUGAUCAACAUCAAUAGAUUUUCUACAA
Molecule: long non-coding RNA, 975 nt
Filed under: Olea europaea subsp. europaea
Lineage: Eukaryota; Viridiplantae; Streptophyta; Magnoliopsida; Lamiales; Oleaceae
Source: RNAcentral